CUACGGGAUGCUCCAGUAAGGAAUAUUGCGCAAUGGAGGCAACUCUGACGCAGCCAUGCCGCGUGCAGGAAGAAGGCCUUAUGGGUCGUAAACUGCUUUUAUUUAGGAAUAAACCCCCGAACGUGUUCGGGGCUGAAGGUACUAAACGAAUAAGCACCGGCUAACUCCGGUGCCAGCAGCCGCGGUAAUACGGAGGGUGCAAGCGUUAUCCGGAUUUAUUGGGUUUAAAGGGUGCGCAGGCGGGCUAUUAAGUCAGUGGUGAAAUCCCGGGGCUCAACUCCGGAACUGCCAUUGAUACUGAUAGUCUUGAGUUUGGUUGAAGUGGGCGGAAUGUAGCAUGUAGCGGUGAAAUGCAUAGAUAUGCUACAGAACACCAAUCGCGAAGGCAGCUCACUAAGCCAAAACUGACGCUCAUGCACGAAAGCGUGGGGAUCAAACAGGAUUAGAUACCCGGGUAGUC
Molecule: ribosomal RNA, 460 nt
Filed under: uncultured bacterium
Lineage: Bacteria
Description: partial 16S ribosomal RNA
Rfam family: Bacterial small subunit ribosomal RNA
Source: RNAcentral